AGAGUUUGAUCAUGGCUCAGAACGAACGCUGGCGGCAUGCCUAACACAUGCAAGUCGAACGAGACCUUCGGGUCUAGUGGCGCACGGGUGCGUAACGCGUGGGAAUCUGCCCUUGGGUUCGGAAUAACAGCGAGAAAUUGCUGCUAAUACCGGAUGAUGACGUAAGUCCAAAGAUUUAUCGCCCAAGGAUGAGCCCGCGUAGGAUUAGCUAGUUGGUGAGGUAAAGGCUCACCAAGGCGACGAUCCUUAGCUGGUCUGGAGAGGAUGAUCAGCCACACUGGGACUGAGACACGGCCCAGACUCCUACGGGAGGCAGCAGUGGGGAAUAUUGGACAAUGGGCGAAAGCCUGAUCCAGCAAUGCCGCGUGAGUGAUGAAGGCCUUAGGGUUGUAAAGCUCUUUUACCCGGGAUGAUAAUGACAGUACCGGGAGAAUAAGCUCCGGCUAACUCCGUG
Molecule: ribosomal RNA, 454 nt
Filed under: uncultured bacterium
Lineage: Bacteria
Description: bacterial SSU rRNA
Rfam family: Bacterial small subunit ribosomal RNA
Source: RNAcentral